ACGGGAGGCAGCAGUGAGGAAUCUUGCGCAAUGGAGGAAACUCUGACGCAGCGACGCCGCGUGAAGGAAGAAGGUCUUCGGAUUGUAAACUUCUGUUUUUAGGGAAGAAGAAAGUGACGGUACCUAAACAGAAAGCUCCGGCUAACUACGUGCCAGCAGCCGCGGUAAUACGUAGGGAGCGAGCGUUGUCCGGAAUGAUUGGGUGUAAAGGGCGCGUAGGCGGUUUAUCAAGUCAAUCGUGAAAACUACAGGCCUAACUUGUAGCCUGCGGUUGAUACUGUAAAACUUGAGUUAAGUAGGGGCAAGCGGAAUUUCCAGUGUAGCGGUGAAAUGCGUAGAUAUUGGAAGGAACACCGGUGGCGAAGGCGGCUUGCUGGGCUUACACUGACGCUGAGGCGCGAAAGCAUGGGUAGCAAACAGGAUUAGAUACCCUGGUA
Molecule: ribosomal RNA, 437 nt
Filed under: uncultured Oscillospiraceae bacterium
Lineage: Bacteria; Bacillati; Bacillota; Clostridia; Eubacteriales; Oscillospiraceae
Description: partial 16S ribosomal RNA
Rfam family: Bacterial small subunit ribosomal RNA
Source: RNAcentral